AUGUUAUUCACUUGGUACCCACCUAUCUCCCGGAUGCCUCCAUAACCCCUCUCACGUCUUCAUCUCCUCCCGAACCCCUCUCACCCGAACAUCAUCUCACGCCCUCUCAGUCCAACUCCUCUCCGGUGAACCCCUCUCCGUGACAUUUCCUUUCCCAUUUUCUGCGACGUUCAUCUUCCUCAAGUUUGUAUCCUUCGUCAACCCCUUCUCCCUCGACCACCAACGUGCUGGAAGGCGGCGAAACCCUAACCCUAGAUCACGCCAUGGUCGAGUUCGGAGGUGCCGCCCCCUGCGUGGUGCACGAGUUGAUGGGCAGCGGCGGCAUAUUUCGAGUGCCUAUCUUCGCCGUCGUACACCCCGGACACGCUCCGGCACUCAAGGUGCGCCCCUACCCUCUACGCGAAACCCAGGCCAGGUCCUUCCUCAGCACCAUUGCUUGCCCCGGGUCGCAUCUCUGGGCCGAACAGGAGUCCAGCCUAUGGGUGUGGAACCUCAAGGAGGUUUUUGAGAACGGGGAGCCCGGCGUCAUGGUAAGGAGAGGCGAUGAGAAAAGCCCGCAAUGCUGCUAAUGGCUUGAUCUGGAGCGGUCACAAGGAUGGAAAGAUCAGGUCUUGGAAUAUGGAAUUACCCAUCACUGCUGAUGCCGCUUCAGAUGAUCAUGGCUCUUCUUCGUCCUCUACGGGCAGUAGUAGUGGUCAUGGUGGUUGCCCUCCAUUCAGAGAAUGUCUUUCAUGGCAGGUGCAUCAUCGAUCUCCAGUUCUAUCCAUGGUUAUCACAUCUUAUGCAUCAUAGGUUGGAUUAGUUGUUGUUAGAUUGCAAGAGGUGGAAAUGGGGGCUGGAUUCCUUGCAAUGGCUGUUGCUAAAGAAACUGUAAGAUAUUUAUCCCUGUAUUUUCCAUUUUUUUCUCAUAGAAUCCAGGUUUUUUUUAGUAUGAUCUAUUCCUUUCUUACAAUAUUAAAAGCAAAGGGAAGGUAGAAUAUUUUUCCAUCAGUUUUGACUAUGCAAGAUUUUUACCUUUUUCUACCUUACAUAAUUAUUGUGUUAUGAAUGUAGUGGCGAAAUUGAUCUCUUUCCUAUUUGCUUAAUCUUUUGAAUAGUUGGUCAUCCAAUCAAAUUUAAACAGAUUGUCCUCUAAUAAUUCUGCUAGUGACACAGUUAUAAACUGAAGGGUUCGUUCAUGGUUUGAGUCAGAUCACUCAGUUGGCUCAUUCACAAAAGAUGGGGAGUGCUGAGAAUAUAAAGUAAAUAUUGAAUAUUUUCUAACAUGUUAAAACUUUUGGGAUGGGUUGUCAACCAAUCUAACCUAUCAUAUCCAUCCUAGAAUAACAUUUGAGCAAAUUUCUAUCCUUAGAAAUGCUUUCAACUGAAAACAACAAAAUAGUAAUCACCACUUGCAAUUCAUCACUAUAAGUAUUUAUUUAAUUAUGUAGUAAUCACUAUAGCCGGCCCCAUCUAGUAGGAUAAAACUUGGUUUAUUGUUGUGUAGUAAUCACCACUAUUAAACUGUAUUCAAUGUUUCUGUUAAGUGAAAAUAAAAGAGGUUUGCUUCACUGUCAUUAUGUAAUAUUAUUUGUUAGAACUAUUCUCUUGUCUAAUAACUUGAGCAUUUGCAUGGGAUAAGUAAGAUCUGAGUAGGAGGUUGUGUUGAAUCUUGUUAUCUAUAGACAUAUAUAUUUAUAUUUAAGUCAACAUACUUGUUGGGCUAGAGUCAAUUGUCCAGUCUUUCUUCACGAUGAAUAUUAGCAAAACAGCUAACAAUUCAGAUCUUUCAAGAUAAAUGAUUAGCUCAAUAUCUUUAUUCAUAUAUGUGUGAAUUUGCAUAGCAGGCACACAUUAUGACUCCAAUAUGGUAACUAGUUGUCAAGCAUAUUGCUAGACCUUAACUAGAUUCUUGGAUCAAUUGGAGGAAGCACUUGUUUGCAUUUUGUGUUGUUUUUUAGUUCCAUUAGUCCUUUGUUAGAUUACAUGUGCUAAUAUACAUGUAUAAAAGAACAGAAGGCUUAACCUUAUGCAAUAAAACAUGAAUUUGUAUAGGUUGUAGAUGCUUAGACAUGUAUGCUAUUUUGGAAAGUAUCUUAUUGUAAAAUAUUUUCUUUGUUUAAGCUGCAGAAGAGCUAUGUAACUCAGCAGUUGGCAUACUCUUGUCCAUAUCAACUCGUGUGUAAGUUGGAUGAAAUUUUGGAGAAUCACUCCUGGCAAUAUAUUUCUAUGAAAUUUGGUCCCUUUUAUUUAAUGACCUUGUGUACAGAGAAAAAAAUAAUAUUUCUAUUUUGUUUCUAAGUUUAUCUGGUGAGAAAUAAUUAUGAUUUUCUGUAACAAUAUUAGCUAUUUAGAUAUGUGCUUAGUUAUUUAUGUUGCAAAGAUGCUUUCACUCUUCAUGUCACUUGGUAAUGAUUAGUAGUAGCGACAGAUGUAAAUAUAAGGCGAACACUACUAUAAAAUCCUAGGUGUGAAGGACCUCUCGUUAAGUUUAUAAGUUCAACUUGGGUGAGAGUUAUUUCUGCUAACUUCUCUGAAUGUAUGUCUAAUUUCCAAAGACAUAUUUUCAAUCUUGUAAAAUAUAACUUCUAGACUGAUGAUACUGUCUUUAAAUUUGUGACUACUCUGAUGAUCUUAGGUAGGACUUGAGGGGAGUGCUAAUGAUGGGCAAUGGUGGUUGAAUGCAAUUGGCAAGACCUUAGAUGAAGGAUCUUCUUUUCAACGUGUUGUCUCUAGGCAAUUAGCAGGGUUACUCAUUGUUGCAUUAUACACAGUGGUAGGUGUUUUGUCUCAGUCUCAAGCCGAUAAUCAUUUUUGAGUAUAACUAGUAGAAGUAAGCAUGCAGAUCAUUGCCUUCGAGACUGGCUAGUUAUUUUGUGCUAUUUUGUUUUAAAUUUGAAUGUCACUAUCUACUUUGAAAAAGAACUAUUUAAUCUUUGAAAUCAUUUGUUGAAUUCUACAUUGUAGCUGAAUUCUCUUGUAAAUACCAAUAUCUAUUUUGUAGUUGAAUUCUAUUAUUUUGGUUGAA
RNA transcript from Zingiber officinale, 3007 nucleotides. It is a transcript of the gene named type II inositol polyphosphate 5-phosphatase 15-like, with no coding region annotated. The record is from RefSeq and is a predicted model, not a curated record. The transcript has 3 exons. Lineage: Eukaryota; Viridiplantae; Streptophyta; Magnoliopsida; Zingiberales; Zingiberaceae.